RNAcentral lists this ribosomal RNA (1068 nucleotides) under marine bacterium AK3_005. RNAcentral's name for it is "bacterial SSU rRNA". It matches the Rfam family "Bacterial small subunit ribosomal RNA", at positions 80 to 1145 of the family's 1533-position model. The record is from RNAcentral.
UUAAUGGGCGUCGAGCGGCGGACGGGUGAGUAAUGCCUAGGAAAUUGCCUUGAUGUGGGGGAUAACCAUUGGAAACGAUGGCUAAUACCGCAUAAUGCCUACGGGCCAAAGAGGGGGACCUUCGGACCUCUCGCGUCAAGAUAUGCCUAGGUGGGAUUAGCUAGUUGGUGAGGUAAUGGCUCACCAAGGCGACGAUCCCUAGCUGGUCUGAGAGGAUGAUCAGCCACACUGGAACUGAGACACGGUCCAGACUCCUACGGGAGGCAGCAGUGGGGAAUAUUGCACAAUGGGCGAAAGCCUGAUGCAGCCAUGCCGCGUGUAUGAAGAAGGCCUUCGGGUUGUAAAGUACUUUCAGUUGUGAGGAAGGGGGUGUUGUUAAUAGCGAUAUCUCUUGACGUUAGCAACAGAAGAAGCACCGGCUAACUCCGUGCCAGCAGCCGCGGUAAUACGGAGGGUGCGAGCGUUAAUCGGAAUUACUGGGCGUAAAGCGCAUGCAGGUGGUUCAUUAAGUCAGAUGUGAAAGCCCGGGGCUCAACCUCGGAACUGCAUUUGAAACUGGUGAACUAGAGUGCUGUAGAGGGGGGUAGAAUUUCAGGUGUAGCGGUGAAAUGCGUAGAGAUCUGAAGGAAUACCAGUGGCGAAGGCGGCCCCCUGGACAGACACUGACACUCAGAUGCGAAAGCGUGGGGAGCAAACAGGAUUAGAUACCCUGGUAGUCCACGCCGUAAACGAUGUCUACUUGGAGGUUGUGGCCUUGAGCCGUGGCUUUCGGAGCUAACGCGUUAAGUAGACCGCCUGGGGAGUACGGUCGCAAGAUUAAAACUCAAAUGAAUUGACGGGGGCCCGCACAAGCGGUGGAGCAUGUGGUUUAAUUCGAUGCAACGCGAAGAACCUUACCUACUCUUGACAUCCAGAGAAGCCAGUGGAGACACAGGUGUGCCUUCGGGAGCUCUGAGACAGGUGCUGCAUGGCUGUCGUCAGCUCGUGUUGUGAAAUGUUGGGUUAAGUCCCGCAACGAGCGCAACCCUUAUCCUUGUUUGCCAGCGAGUAAUGUCGGGAACUCCAGGG